This 111-nucleotide ribosomal RNA is filed under the name Bacteroidota bacterium. The record is from RNAcentral. RNAcentral also lists the same sequence under 1 other name. Lineage: Bacteria; Pseudomonadati; Bacteroidota.
UUGGGUGACUAUUGCGGCAAGGUCCACCUCUUCCCAUUCCGAACAGAGAAGUUAAGCCUGCCUGCGCCAAUGAUACUGCCCCUGUGGUGGAAAAGUAGGUCGUCGCCAAAG